This 253-nucleotide ribosomal RNA is filed under the name uncultured bacterium. RNAcentral's name for it is "partial 16S ribosomal RNA". It matches the Rfam family "Bacterial small subunit ribosomal RNA", at positions 524 to 776 of the family's 1533-position model. The record is from RNAcentral.
UACAGAGGGGGCAAGCGUUGUUCGGAAUUACUGGGCGUAAAGGGCGCGUAGGCGGCCUCCUAAGUCAGACGUGAAAUCCCUCGGCUCAACCGGGGAACUGCGUCUGAUACUGGGAGGCUUGAAUCCGGGAGAGGGAUGUGGAAUUCCAGGUGUAGCGGUGAAAUGCGUAGAUAUCGGGAGGAACACCGGUGGCGAAGGCGGUUCUCUGGGCCUUACCUGACGCUGAGGAGCGAAAGCGUGGGGAGCGAACAGG